This 222-nucleotide unclassified non-coding RNA is filed under the name uncultured Actinomycetes bacterium. RNAcentral's name for it is "uncultured actinobacterium contains 16S-23S intergenic spacer region". The record is from RNAcentral. Lineage: Bacteria; Bacillati; Actinomycetota; Actinomycetes.
UCCGAGUUGACCCCGGCAGUCUCCCACGAGUCCCCGCCAUUACGCGCUGGCAACAUAGGAUAAGGGUUGCGCUCGUUGCGGGACUUAACCCAACAUCUCACGACACGAGCUGACGACAGCCAUGCACCACCUGCACACAGGCCACAAGGGAACCGACAUCUCUGCCGGGAUCCUGUGCAUGUCAAACCCAGGUAAGGUGGGGAUGACGUCGGAGGAAUUCCA